AUCAGAGGGAGAUGGGAAAUUGCCGACCGGUGUAUAAUACGAAGUCUUGGACGUGGAUGAGAUCUGGAACUUUUUUAUUCCUGCAUUGCCUCAAAUCUGGGGUAAUUUUCCUUUUAUUUUUAUUUUUUUCUGGUAGGAGUACCUGGGAGUCUGGGACAGGUCAGAGGCAGCUGCUGCUGCGGAUGGACACGCGACACAUCCGCAGCGGCUAGCCAAUGAGCGGCGACCAAGGGAGCAGGUAGUAGGCCGUGUUCUAGGCUGGCCUUUUCCAUCGCUUUUCUCGCCGGUAUUAUUAGCGCGGAUCGUUCAUCGUUCGGGAUUGGGGUUCUGACUCGGAACCUGAUCAGUGAGUGUGGUCUUCUGAAAGCGAGCAAAGGAGGAUGGGGUUCUCCUUCUUCACCUCCCGAGCCGGUGCUCGACUGCUGGACGGGAUCGCGCGCCCCGGCUUCUCCACCGCCGCGCUUCUGCUCACAGCGGCCAGUGGCGGAGGCCUUGUGGCGUACGCGGAUUCCGCUGCAGAGAGCGCGCCGGACCCAUCUCAGGAUGCUCCCAGGAAGAAGGUGGUGGUUCUUGGGACUGGCUGGGCUGGGACGUCGUUCCUCAAGAACCUCGACUGCUCCAGGUAUGAAGUGAAGGUCAUAUCGCCCCGGAACUACUUCGCGUUCACUCCUCUGCUUCCGAGUGUCACGUGUGGGACUGUCGAGCCGCGCAGCAUUAUUGAACCGGUACGGAGGAUGUUUGAGAAGAAAAACAAGGAUGUCACAUUUUGUGAAGCCGAGUGUUUCAAGAUUGAUGCAAAUAGAAAAACUGUACAUUGCCGUUCUGCUGUUGGAACUAAUCUUGAUGGGAAUGGUGAUUUUAUGUUGGAUUAUGACUACUUAGUUGUUGCUCUUGGGGCUACUGUAAGUACAUUUAACACUCCUGGAGUGCUGGAGCACUGCUGCUUUUUGAAGGAAGUAGAGGAUGCUCAGAAGAUACGGAAGGGUGUGAUAGAUUGUUUUGAAAAAGCAUCACUUCCAAAUAUUAGUGAAGAAGAGAAAAGGAAAAUCCUACAUUUUGUAGUUAUUGGUGGUGGACCUACUGGAGUUGAAUUUGCAGCAGAGAUGCAUGAUUUUCUUGUCGAAGAUUUAGUGAAACUAUAUCCUGCCAUUCAAGACCUCGUGAAGAUAACAAUUAUUCAAUCGGCAGAGCAUAUAUUGACUAUGUUUGAUGAAAGAAUAGCUUCAUUUGCUGAACAAAAGUUCAAGAGGGAUGGCAUCGAAGUGUGCACGGGCUUCAGAGUGAUAAAGGUGUCUGAUGAUUUGAUUACAAUGAAGAGAAAAUCUGAUGGUGAGGAGUUAUCAGUUCCUUACGGAAUGGCUGUUUGGUCUGCUGGCAUUGGUACUCGUCCUGUCGUCAUGGACUUCAUGCAACAAAUUGGGCAGACCAAUCGUCGUGCCUUGGCAACUAACGAGUGGUUAAGGGUUCGCGAGUGUGAAGGCGUCUAUGCAAUUGGCGACUGUGCUACAGUGAGUCAAAGAAAAAUAAUGGACGAUAUUUCAACAGUAUUCAAGAUGGCAGACAAGGACAAUUCCGGCACCUUAACACUAAAAGAGAUCAAUGGUGUUUUAGAUGAUAUAUGUAUAAGAUACCCGCAAGUAGAGCUGUAUAUGAAAAGCAUGCACAUGCUUGACAUUGCGGAUUUAAUAAAAGGCGCAGUUGGCGAUUCUCACAAGGAGUCCAUGGUGGUUGACAUAGAGGAGUUCAAGAAGGCUCUGCGCCACGUUGACUCCCAGGUGAAAAACGCUCCAGCGACGGCCCAGGUCGCCGCACAGCAAGGGCAGUACCUCGCCCAGUGUUUCAACAAGAUGGAGAAAUGCAGAGAGGAGCCCGAAGGCCCUCUGCGCAUGGCAGGGGGGUCCGGCCGCCACUUCUUCCGCCCGUUUCGGUACUUAGCUUUCUGCCCACAGUCCAAAACCAGGGCUUGCAUAGGCGCGUGCUAUGUUUCUGACAAGACUAAUAAUAGCGUAGGAGACUAAUAGUUCAUAUUCAGUCAACAUAGAUGAGUUUUGAUACAAAAGAUGCUACAAGCACUUCGGGCAGUUCGCGCCUCUGGGUGGAGAACAAGCCGCUGCAGAGCUCCCGGGCGACUGGGUCUCCAUGGGCCACAGCACGCAGUGGCUCUGGUACUCCGUGUAUGCCAGCAAGCAAGUGAGCUGGCGCACGCGGGUGCUGGUGGUUUCCGACUGGACUCGCCGCUUCAUAUUCGGGAGGGACUCAAGCCGGAUCUAGCUGCCAAGGAUUCUCUUCUGCACAGGGGGGGGGGGGGGGGGGGGGGUUCGUUCCGUCCGAAGAAUAAUCGGUUUCGCUGCUGCUGGAGCUUGAGCAAGCAAAGCUGUUUCCCCGCGCCUGGCCCUGCCGGCGAAACUGCUGUUCUUUCUUCUGCUACAUGGUAGAUGGCUCUCAAAGCCUCACGCCGGUUACUUUCACUGAGGUUUUAGCUCUGGUUUAUUUGAUGUCCAUAGGUUUUCUUCCUUUGCUUGUGAUCUCAACACAUCCAUCACUAUGAUUCAUUUGUGUGUGAUACAUAUUGCAACUUCAGUUAAAAUCCAACCUUUUCUUAGGAACAGGGCUCUAAAAUCCAGCGUCCUCGUCA
RNA transcript from Zea mays, 2635 nucleotides. It is a transcript of the gene named external alternative NAD(P)H-ubiquinone oxidoreductase B1, mitochondrial, with no coding region annotated. NCBI's taxonomy places the organism in Eukaryota, Viridiplantae, Streptophyta, Magnoliopsida, Poales, Poaceae. The transcript is spliced from 9 exons. The record is from RefSeq and is a predicted model, not a curated record.